AGGAUGAACGCUGGCGGCGUGCUUAACACAUGCAAGUCGAACGGGAUCCCAGGAGCUUGCUCCUGGGUGAGAGUGGCGAACGGGUGAGUAAUGCGUGACCGACCUGCCCCAUACACCGGAAUAGCUCCUGGAAACGGGUGGUAAUGCCGGAUGCUCCAGUUGACCGCAUGGUCCUCUGGGAAAGCUUUUGCGGUAUGGGAUGGGGUCGCGUCCUAUCAGCUUGAUGGCGGGGUAACGGCCCACCAUGGCUUCGACGGGUAGCCGGCCUGAGAGGGCGACCGGCCACAUUGGGACUGAGAUACGGCCCAGACUCCUACGGGAGGCAGCAGUGGGGAAUAUUGCACAAUGGGCGCAAGCCUGAUGCAGCGACGCCGCGUGCGGGAUGACGGCCUUCGGGUUGUAAACCGCUUUUGACUGGGAGCAAGCCCUUCGGGGUGAGUGUACCUUUCGAAUAAGCACCGGCUAACUACGUGCCAGCAGCCGCGGUAAUACGUAGGGUGCAAGCGUUAUCCG
This 513-nucleotide ribosomal RNA is filed under the name Bifidobacterium adolescentis L2-32. RNAcentral describes it as "SSU rRNA". It matches the Rfam family "Bacterial small subunit ribosomal RNA", at positions 26 to 547 of the family's 1533-position model. The record is from RNAcentral. Lineage: Bacteria; Bacillati; Actinomycetota; Actinomycetes; Bifidobacteriales; Bifidobacteriaceae.